Molecule: ribosomal RNA, 465 nt
Filed under: uncultured bacterium
Lineage: Bacteria
Description: partial 16S ribosomal RNA
Rfam family: Bacterial small subunit ribosomal RNA
Source: RNAcentral
GACGAACGCUGGCGGCGUGCUUAACACAUGCAAGUCGAACGGAAAGGCCCUGCUUGCAGGGUACUCGAGUGGCGAACGGGUGAGUAACACGUGGGUGAUCUGCCCUGCACUUCGGGAUAAGCCUGGGAAACUGGGUCUAAUACCGGAUAGGAGCCAUUUUUAGUGUGAUGGUUGGAAAGUUUUUUCGGUGUAGGAUGAGCUCGCGGCCUAUCAGCUUGUUGGUGGGGUAAUGGCCUACCAAGGCGGCGACGGGUAGCCGGCCUGAGAGGGUGGACGGCCACAAUGGGACUGAGAUACGGCCCAGACUCCGACGGGAGGCAGCAGGGGGGAAUAUUGCACAAUGGGCGCAAGCCUGAUGCAGCGACGCCGCGUGGGGGAUGACGGCCUUCGGGUUGUAAACUCCUUUCGCUAGGGACGAAGCUUUUUGUGACGGUACCUAGAUAAGAAGCACCGGCUAACUACGUG